RNAcentral lists this unclassified non-coding RNA (520 nucleotides) under Krascheninnikovia ceratoides. RNAcentral describes it as "sequence contains 18S rRNA gene, ITS1, 5.8S rRNA gene, ITS2, 28S rRNA gene". The stretch from base 217 to 372 matches the Rfam family "5.8S ribosomal RNA". Lineage: Eukaryota; Viridiplantae; Streptophyta; Magnoliopsida; Caryophyllales; Amaranthaceae. The record is from RNAcentral.
GAACGUGUUUACCAUGAACGGGGUGGGGUGGUCGUGCUUAAUCGUUCGGUCCCCCAUCUUGUUGCCAGAAAGGGGCCUCACUUACGGGGGGCUGCUUCCCGGCACAAUAACGAACCCCGGCGCGGUCUGCGCCAAGGAACAUAAAUACAAGCGUGCCCUUCCCAGCCGGUYCGCCGGCAAGGGAUGUGGCACCAAGUCGUAUAUAAAACAUUAAACGACUCUCGGCAACGGAUAUCUCGGCUCUCGCAUCGAUGAAGAACGUAGCGAAAUGCGAUACUUGGUGUGAAUUGCAGAAUCCCGUGAACCAUCGAGUCUUUGAACGCAAGUUGCGCCCGAAGCCUUCUGGCUGAGGGCACGCCUGCCUGGGCGUCACGCAUCGCGUCUCCCCCUCCCCACCUAGAGUGGGGGAGGGGAGGAGGAUAGCCUCCCAUGCCUCACCGGGBGUGGAUGGCCUAAAAAUGGAGUCCCAGGCCACGAGCUGCUGCGGCAAUAGGUGGUAUUACAAGGCUAGCCUCGGAUG